Molecule: long non-coding RNA, 1010 nt
Organism: Uranotaenia lowii
Lineage: Eukaryota; Metazoa; Arthropoda; Insecta; Diptera; Culicidae
Exons: 2
Source: RefSeq, a predicted model, not a curated record
UUUUAUGAUUAUUUUUCGCGAUACGCCUCCCUUUUCUUCGUGCGUGCCACACACAGCUACCGUGAUACCUGUGCGCUUGAUGCACUUUGAUCCGUUCUUGUUUUGUAAACAAUGUCACAGCAUGGCUGAGUGGGCUCUUUGACAUUUUACACCACCCUAAUCUAACAGCCCUGACAUUAAACCAUCCCGCAGGCCCUUUUAAAACCUUGAUCGAACGAUUUCGCGCGUAGGGCUGCGUUCAAUUGGGAUUGGGCCUGCUAAAAAGAAUAAAGCUUGCUCUUUACUCUUACACAGAUUUCCAUAAGAAUGACAGCUAAUCGGAGUGAAAUUGGAGUGAAGGCUAUCGCUUUCUCUGUUUAACGCAUGAGGAAUCGUAUACCGGGGUCGCGAGCGCGCCCAUCGCCCAUGCCAUAAAUUUGGAUCUUUAACUCUAAACGUGCAUCAGUCUAGUCAGCUGAUUGCACCGAUUGCACACAUACAUGAGCAUAAAACACAAAACAACUUUGUACAACAGAUGUUUGAUCAUUUCAACGACUUUUCAUUCGUGAGUAUUGGUGAUCUAAGCAGGCCUGAAAAAUUCACUUGGAUUUCUACGGCCAUUUUGUACGCAGCCUUUUAGAAAGCAGCUUCAUGUUGGAGCAUCGAAAAAAGGUUUACGACAAACGCAUGCAGGCGCAGGAUCAGGCUCGAGAAGUGAUGGUGGUGGAGACUUUGGCGAAGAAUUUCUCUCUGUCCAUCUGGUCCGGACGACUACGAGGAGCUAAUAAGCGGCAACAGUUUCCUCUAGGAUACGUUUCACCUCAAGCAUCAUGGAAAAAACCGGAGAUUAUCGAACGGAAGCGACAAGGAGCUCGCAGCCAUCAGUCACUCCUCGCAAGUUGUGUGUUGGGAUUUUUUUUUCAUUGUGAAUUGUGAAUGAAAAGUAAUAGAAAUAAGAACUGUGAACUAAUUGUGUAACAAAAAGAUGAUGAGUACAAUAAUUGAAUAAAACGAAAGCUUUUCAAAAACAA